UCCCCAUAGUAUUGUGGGUAGGCAUCUAUCUGCAAUUAAAGUUUCGACGGUAUAUGAUUGGUGUGCGUUCCAUUAGCUAGUUGGUAGGGUAACGGCCUACCAAGGCGACGAUGGGUAGCUGGCGUGAGAGCGCGACCAGCCACACUGGAACUGAGACACGGUCCAGACUCCUACGGGAGGCAGCAGUAGGGAAUAUUGGACAAUGGGCGAAAGCCUGAUCCAGCCAUGCCGCGUGAUAGAUGAAGGCCCUCUGGGUUGUAAAUAUCUUUUAUCUGGGAAGAAACUCCUCUAUUCUUAGAGGCCUGACGGUACCAGAGGAAUAAGCACCGGCUAACUCCGUG
This 341-nucleotide ribosomal RNA is filed under the name uncultured bacterium. Its description in RNAcentral is "bacterial SSU rRNA". It matches the Rfam family "Bacterial small subunit ribosomal RNA", at positions 168 to 507 of the family's 1533-position model. The record is from RNAcentral.